This 329-nucleotide transfer-messenger RNA is filed under the name Caldifarciminota bacterium. It matches the Rfam family "transfer-messenger RNA". From Rfam's summary of the family: Bacterial tmRNA, also known as 10Sa RNA or SsrA, is named for its dual tRNA and mRNA-like properties. Its role is to liberate the mRNA from a stalled ribosome. The record is from RNAcentral. Lineage: Bacteria; Pseudomonadati; Caldifarciminota.
GGGGGCGAAAUUGGUCUCGACAGGGAGAGCCGUCGUACAGGGGAAGCAUGCCGAGAUUGCUGGGGUCUCGUAAAACACCGGCAAAAAAACAAACGGCGAAAAUCUCGCAAUAGCUGCUUAAUGCAGCAGGGUUUUCCGAUUCUUGUCAGGGGUUUCGGUAAAACCCUCAUUAUCCUGACUGCCUGCAUAUUAAAGUCGCGGAAUAUGCAAUAAGACAAGCGGCAAAACUCUCUUUAAGUUGCACUGCGCGCGAAGAGAGUUAACAGGCAGUGCUAAGCAUGUAGAAGGACUGUGCCACUCUCUUUGGACGCGGGUUCAACUCCCGCCGC